GCAGUGGUGGUUCAGUGGUAGAGUUCCCACCUUCCACGCAGGAGACCUGGGUUCGAUUCCCAGCCAAAGCA
This 71-nucleotide transfer RNA is filed under the name Loxodonta africana (African savanna elephant). It matches the Rfam family "tRNA". Rfam says of the family: Transfer RNA (tRNA) molecules are approximately 80 nucleotides in length. The record is from Rfam by way of RNAcentral. Lineage: Eukaryota; Metazoa; Chordata; Mammalia; Proboscidea; Elephantidae.